This 253-nucleotide ribosomal RNA is filed under the name uncultured bacterium. RNAcentral's name for it is "partial 16S ribosomal RNA". It matches the Rfam family "Bacterial small subunit ribosomal RNA", at positions 524 to 776 of the family's 1533-position model. The record is from RNAcentral.
UACGGAGGGUGCGAGCGUUGUUCGGAUUUACUGGGCGUAAAGCGCACGUAGGCGGGUUGUUAAGUCAGGGGUGAAAUCCUGGAGCUCAACUCCAGAACUGCCUUUGAUACUGGCAACCUAGAGGCUGGAAGAGGUUAGUGGAAUUCCCAGUGUAGAGGUGAAAUUCGUAGAUAUUGGGAAGAACACCAGUGGCGAAGGCGGCUAACUGGUCCAGAUCUGACGCUGAGGUGCGAAAGCGUGGGGAGCAAACAGG